This 259-nucleotide ribosomal RNA is filed under the name uncultured bacterium. Its description in RNAcentral is "partial 16S ribosomal RNA". It matches the Rfam family "Bacterial small subunit ribosomal RNA", at positions 793 to 1055 of the family's 1533-position model. The record is from RNAcentral.
GUCCACGCAGUAAACGAUGAGUGCUAGUUGUUGGGAGUCAAAUCUCAGUGACGCAGUUAACGCAUUAAGCACUCCGCCUGGGGAGUACGUACGCAAGUAUGAAACUCAAAGGAAUUGACGGGGACCCGCACAAGCAGCGGAGCAUGUGGUUUAAUUCGAAGCAACGCGAAGAACCUUACCAAGGCUUGACAUAUAUAUGGCGGAUAUAGAGAUAUAUCUUUUCUUCGGAACAUAUAUACAGGUGGUGCAUGGUUGUCGU